CGAUGGUAGGAUAGAGGCCUACCAUGGUGGUAACGGGUAACGGGGAAUUAGGGUUCGAUUCCGGAGAGGGAGCCUGAGAAACGGCUACCACAUCCAAGGAAGGCAGCAGGCGCGCAAAUUACCCAAUCCCGACACGGGGAGGUAGUGACAAUAAAUAACAACACAGGGCUCUUUUGGGUCUUGUUAUUGGAAUGAGUACGAUUUAAAUCUCCUAACGAGGAACAAUUGGAGGGCAAGUCUGGUGCCAGCAGCCGCGGUAAUUCCAGCUCCAAUAGCGUAUAUUAAAGUUGUUGCAGUUAAAAAGCUCGUAGUUGAAUUCCAGGCCUGGCUGGACGGUCCGCCCUUCGGGUGAGUACUGUCUGUGGUCGGGUCCUACCUUCUGGCGAAGCGUCAUGGCCUUAACCGGCCGUGGCGGGGAACCAGGACUUUUACUGUGAAAAAAUUAGAGUGUUCAAAGCAGGCAAUCGCUUGGAUACAUGAGCAUGGAAUAAUGGAAUAGGACAAUGGUUCUAUUUGUUGGUUUCUAGGACCGUUGUAAUGAUUAAUAGGGAUAGUUGGGGGCAUUAGUAUUCAAUUGUCAGAGGUGAAAUUCUUGGAUUUAUUGAAGACUAACUACUGCGAAAGCAUUUGCCAAGGAUGUUUUCAUUAAUCAAGAACGAAAGUUAGGGGAUCGAAGACGAUCAGAUACCGUCGUAGUCUUAACCAUAAACUAUGCCGACUAGGGAUCGGAUGAUGNUAAUUUUUUAACGACUCAUUCGGCGCCUUACGGGAAACCCAAAGUG
RNAcentral lists this ribosomal RNA (782 nucleotides) under uncultured Paraglomeraceae. RNAcentral describes it as "SSU rRNA". It matches the Rfam family "Eukaryotic small subunit ribosomal RNA", at positions 323 to 1105 of the family's 1831-position model. The record is from RNAcentral. Lineage: Eukaryota; Fungi; Glomeromycota; Glomeromycetes; Paraglomerales.